RNAcentral lists this unclassified non-coding RNA (206 nucleotides) under Hevea brasiliensis (rubber tree). The record is from RNAcentral. Lineage: Eukaryota; Viridiplantae; Streptophyta; Magnoliopsida; Malpighiales; Euphorbiaceae.
AGUUCUCUGACCGAAAAAAAGAAAACCUGUGCGGGAAGGAUGAUUAUGUGAGCUCCAAUCGGAAUGCGUCCUAUGCUGCAGCGAGCGUGGCGACCUGAGCUGAGAGGUGAUGAAAGUGAAGGAAUCGGGGGCUUGAGCUGAGAAGAAUGGGUGGUUGAGUGGUACCUGCGUGAAUUGAGAAAAAAAGGGCGAGUUCGCGAGUGAGA